RNAcentral lists this ribosomal RNA (1447 nucleotides) under uncultured organism. Its description in RNAcentral is "SSU rRNA". It matches the Rfam family "Bacterial small subunit ribosomal RNA". The record is from RNAcentral.
UCUAGCUACAGGCUUAACACAUGCAAGUCGAGGGGCAGCAUGGUCUUAGCUUGCUAAGGCCGAUGGCGACCGGCGCACGGGUGAGUAACACGUAUCCAACCUGCCGUCUACUCUUGGACAGCCUUCUGAAAGGAAGAUUAAUACAAGAUGGCAUCAUGAGUCCGCAUGUUCACAUGAUUAAAGGUAUUCCGGUAGACGAUGGGGAUGCGUUCCAUUAGAUAGUAGGCGGGGUAACGGCCCACCUAGUCUUCGAUGGAUAGGGGUUCUGAGAGGAAGGUCCCCCACAUUGGAACUGAGACACGGUCCAAACUCCUACGGGAGGCAGCAGUGAGGAAUAUUGGUCAAUGGGCGAGAGCCUGAACCAGCCAAGUAGCGUGAAGGAUGACUGCCCUAUGGGUUGUAAACUUCUUUUAUAAAGGAAUAAAGUCGGGUAUGGAUACCCGUUUGCAUGUACUUUAUGAAUAAGGAUCGGCUAACUCCGUGCCAGCAGCCGCGGUAAUACGGAGGAUCCGAGCGUUAUCCGGAUUUAUUGGGUUUAAAGGGAGCGUAGAUGGAUGUUUAAGUCAGUUGUGAAAGUUUGCGGCUCAACCGUAAAAUUGCAGUUGAUACUGGAUAUCUUGAGUGCAGUUGAGGCAGGCGGAGUUCGUGGUGUAGCGGUGAAAUGCUUAGAUAUCACGAAGAACUCCGAUUGCGAAGGCAGCCUGCUAAGCUGCAACUGACAUUGAGGCUCGAAAGUGUGGGUAUCAAACAGGAUUAGAUACCCUGGUAGUCCACGCGGUAAACGAUGAAUACUCGCUGUUUGCGAUAUACUGCAAGCGGCCAAGCGAAAGCGUUAAGUAUUCCACCUGGGGAGUACGCCGGCAACGGUGAAACUCAAAGGAAUUGACGGGGGCCCGCACAAGCGGAGGAACAUGUGGUUUAAUUCGAUGAUACGCGAGGAACCUUACCCGGGCUUAAAUUGCAGAUGAAUUACGGUGAAAGCCGUAAGCCGCAAGGCAUCUGUGAAGGUGCUGCAUGGUUGUCGUCAGCUCGUGCCGUGAGGUGUCGGCUUAAGUGCCAUAACGAGCGCAACCCUUGUUGUCAGUUACUAACAGGUUCCGCUGAGGACUCUGACAAGACUGCCAUCGUAAGAUGUGAGGAAGGUGGGGAUGACGUCAAAUCAGCACGGCCCUUACGUCCGGGGCUACACACGUGUUACAAUGGGGGGUACAGAGGGCCGCUACCACGCGAGUGGAUGCCAAUCCCCAAAACCUCUCUCAGUUCGGACUGGAGUCUGCAACCCGACUCCACGAAGCUGGAUUCGCUAGUAAUCGCGCAUCAGCCACGGCGCGGUGAAUACGUUCCCGGGCCUUGUACACACCGCCCGUCAAGCCAUGGGAGCCGGGGGUACCUGAAGUGCGUAACCGCGAGGAGCGCCCUAGGGUAAAACUGGUGACUGGGGCUAAGU